Molecule: non-coding RNA, 45 nt
Organism: Schistosoma mattheei
Lineage: Eukaryota; Metazoa; Platyhelminthes; Trematoda; Strigeidida; Schistosomatidae
Source: Rfam
AUCCAGAUGACGAGUCCUAAAUAAGAUUAAACGCAUGUCCUGGAU